Molecule: long non-coding RNA, 887 nt
Filed under: Cicer arietinum (chickpea)
Lineage: Eukaryota; Viridiplantae; Streptophyta; Magnoliopsida; Fabales; Fabaceae
Description: long non-coding RNA (CARI_LNC001187)
Source: RNAcentral
UGAGUGUGUAAGAGGUCUUGGCUUUUGAGUUGUAUGUAUUUGGUUAGCAUGUUUUGGGUGGUUUACUUGUAUGAUAUUUUGGUGAUAGUAUUUUAGGGGAUAAUACUGUUAGAGUAGCCCUUUGUGAAAGUUUUUGUCAAAUGUACUUCAAGAGUAUGAGUGUCCAAAGAGGAUGGCUUAUAACCUAGGUGUAUUUUUUUGGAGUUCCUAACUCUGUAUAUUUCUUGGAAAUUAAACAUGACUCCAAACCUCGUGGUUAUAUUUUCCUAUGUCUAUAUGUUGGUAUAUGUUUUACUUUUGUUUCAUGCAUGAAGAUCUCUAUGUUUUUUCAAAUGCAGUUUUGUAGAGUAUUUUGAGUCAAUUGUUUAGUUUGGUUCUUUCAAUUUAAUGUUCUUUUUAGAGUUAUUUUGAAUAAAUGGUUCUUUGAUUAAAUAAGGUGUUUAUGAUUUCAUUUUCAUGAUUAACCAACUAUUUUGUGUAGUUUUUUUAUUGCUUCAUUGGCUUAACGCAAUGCUGAAUUUUGGUAAAAAAAACAACAUGACUCUUAUGCUGUAUUUUAGUCAUAUAUAGAGUUGUAGAUGUCUAAAUGGAAUUAAAUCAGUUGCAAAUGAAAGCUAACAUCUAUAGCUAAAAAUUUCAUGAACCCAAUUUAAAUAUUACAUUUGUGAAAGUGCAAGUUAAAUAAGAACUAGAGCCAUUUUGCAUAACAAAUGUGUUUAUUUAACAAUGGAGCGCAUUGUCACCAUAAUCUGCUCAUUUCGCCUAGUCAUACACCACCAUUUUUUAUCUCGAGUAGUGCAAUGCACCUAGAAUUAGGUAAAUGCAUUAGCAGAUGCUCCAAAGCCCUAUUUAAGCUAAAAUAUCAAAUUUUGGAUACCUCGGAGAGA